This 509-nucleotide long non-coding RNA is filed under the name Equus asinus (donkey). RNAcentral describes it as "lncRNA (ENSEASG00005035644.1)". Lineage: Eukaryota; Metazoa; Chordata; Mammalia; Perissodactyla; Equidae. The record is from RNAcentral.
CUCAUUGUCAGUCCCGGGGACCCGAGGAGGCGCCGGCGCCGGGAGCCGAGCGCCGGGCGGUCCGCAGGCGGGAGCGCGGGCCGGAGCCGCGGAGAUGAGGGAACUUCUACCCAGAGAAUUAUGAUAAUUCUGCGAGGGUCCCAGGACUGCACUGAAGACGUUGACUGGAGACUUGCUGGCAAGCACAACUUACGAAAGGAACAAGGGAAAGAGACGCAGCCAUAGCUACAAGAAGCACCUGGGACGGGGGAGGCGCAGCGAACUGGCGGGGAGCCCGAGUCUUUCUUGUCACUCAGGGUCCUCCCUGCCCUCUCGGCCGCUGCCUGGUUACACGCCUGCCCCCAACUUCCCCCCUCUCGCAUUAGGGCUGCUUUCAAAUGACUUCUGCUGGAACUGGGCAAGUUAAUUUCUCAAGCUUCCUUUCCCAAGGGCUUCCUGGUGCACUUAGAGGGGAAGAGACACUCAACAUGUGCGGGGGAUGUGGGCUUAAUCAGGAUGGCGAUGAGAAG